RNAcentral lists this ribosomal RNA (796 nucleotides) under Caulobacter sp. DP_00072. Its description in RNAcentral is "bacterial SSU rRNA". It matches the Rfam family "Bacterial small subunit ribosomal RNA", at positions 23 to 866 of the family's 1533-position model. RNAcentral also lists the same sequence under 1 other name. Lineage: Bacteria; Pseudomonadati; Pseudomonadota; Alphaproteobacteria; Caulobacterales; Caulobacteraceae. The record is from RNAcentral.
CUCAGAGCGAACGCUGGCGGCAGGCCUAACACAUGCAAGUCGAACGGAUCCUUCGGGAUUAGUGGCGGACGGGUGAGUAACACGUGGGAAUGUGCCCUUUGGUUCGGAACAACUCAGGGAAACUUGAGCUAAUACCGGAUAAGCCUUUCGAGGGAAAGAUUUAUCGCCAUUGGAGCGGCCCGCGUAGGAUUAGCUAGUUGGUGGGGUAAAGGCCCACCAAGGCUACGAUCCUUAGCUGGUCUGAGAGGAUGAUCAGCCACAUUGGGACUGAGACACGGCCCAAACUCCUACGGGAGGCAGCAGUGGGGAAUCUUGCGCAAUGGGCGAAAGCCUGACGCAGCCAUGCCGCGUGAAUGAUGAAGGUCUUAGGAUUGUAAAAUUCUUUCACCGGGGACGAUAAUGACGGUACCCGGAGAAGAAGCCCCGGCUAACUUCGUGCCAGCAGCCGCGGUAAUACGAAGGGGGCUAGCGUUGCUCGGAAUUACUGGGCGUAAAGGGAGCGUAGGCGGAUAGUUUAGUCAGAGGUGAAAGCCCAGGGCUCAACCUUGGAAUUGCCUUUGAUACUGGCUAUCUUGAGUACGGAAGAGGUAUGUGGAACUCCGAGUGUAGAGGUGAAAUUCGUAGAUAUUCGGAAGAACACCAGUGGCGAAGGCGACAUACUGGUCCGUUACUGACGCUGAGGCUCGAAAGCGUGGGGAGCAAACAGGAUUAGAUACCCUGGUAGUCCACGCUGUAAACGAUGAGUGCUAGUUGUCGGCAGGCAUGCCUGUCGGUGACGCAGCUAACGCAUUAAGCA